Molecule: transfer RNA, 84 nt
Filed under: Pseudomonadota bacterium
Lineage: Bacteria; Pseudomonadati; Pseudomonadota
Also listed under: 1 other name
Description: tRNA-Tyr
Rfam family: tRNA
About the family: Transfer RNA (tRNA) molecules are approximately 80 nucleotides in length. Their secondary structure includes four short double-helical elements and three loops (D, anti-codon, and T loops). Further hydrogen bonds mediate the characteristic L-shaped molecular structure. tRNAs have two regions of fundamental functional importance: the anti-codon, which is responsible for specific mRNA codon recognition, and the 3' end, to which the tRNAs corresponding amino acid is attached (by aminoacyl-tRNA synthetases). tRNAs cope with the degeneracy of the genetic code in two manners: having more than one tRNA (with a specific anti-codon) for a particular amino acid; and 'wobble' base-pairing, i.e. permitting non-standard base-pairing at the 3rd anti-codon position.
Source: RNAcentral
GGGCAGGUGGCGGAGUAGACAAACGCACGAGACUGUAAAUCUCGCGGCCUUAGGCCUUCGUAGGUGCAAAUCCUACCCUGCCCA